This 383-nucleotide ribosomal RNA is filed under the name uncultured bacterium. Its description in RNAcentral is "bacterial SSU rRNA". It matches the Rfam family "Bacterial small subunit ribosomal RNA", at positions 28 to 412 of the family's 1533-position model. The record is from RNAcentral.
GACGAACGCUGGCGGCGUGCUUAACACAUGCAAGUCGAGCGGUAAGGCCCUUUCGGGGGUACACGAGCGGCGAACGGGUGAGUAACACGUGGGUGACCUGCCCUCAGCUCUGGGAUAAGCCUGGGAAACCGGGUCUAAUACUGGAUAUGACUCCAUGACGCAUGUUGUGGGGUGGAAAGCCUUGUGCGGCUGAGGAUGGGCCCGCGGCCUAUCAGCUUGUUGGUGGGGUGANGGCCUACCAAGGCGACGACGGGUAGCCGGCCUGAGAGGGCGACCGGCCGCACUGGGACUGAGACACGGCCCAGACUCCUACGGGAGGCAGCAGUGGGGAAUCUUGCGCAAUGGGCGAAAGCCUGACGCAGCGACGCCGCGUGAGGGAUGAC